RNAcentral lists this ribosomal RNA (225 nucleotides) under Triticum aestivum (bread wheat). RNAcentral's name for it is "partial small subunit ribosomal RNA". Lineage: Eukaryota; Viridiplantae; Streptophyta; Magnoliopsida; Poales; Poaceae. The record is from RNAcentral.
UUGUGCUUUCCAAAGAAAGAAGGGGGGAUGGGCUUCCGUGACCUUCAUUCUUUCAAUUUGGCGAUGUUGGCGAAGGAAUGUUGGAGGCUACUUGAUGAUCCAUAAUCUUUAUGUGCUAGGAUCCUCCGAGCAAAGUACUACCCUUCAGGUGACCUUCUCUCAGCUGGACCAAAAAAAGGUUCUUCCUUUACAUGGCAGAGUAUCUUUGCAGGCAUUCAAACAUUU